This 483-nucleotide ribosomal RNA is filed under the name uncultured bacterium. RNAcentral describes it as "bacterial SSU rRNA". It matches the Rfam family "Bacterial small subunit ribosomal RNA", at positions 69 to 543 of the family's 1533-position model. The record is from RNAcentral.
GCAGCAGGACUGUAGCAAUACAGUUGCUGGCGACCGGCAAACGGGUGCGGAACACGUACGCAACCUACCCAAAACUGGUGAAUAGCCCUCCGAAAGGAGGAUUAAUACACCGUAACUUAAUUAGAUGGCAUCAUUUGAUUAAUAUAGCUCCGGCGGUUUUGGAUGGGCGUGCGCCUGAUUAGGUAGUUGGUGUGGGUAACGGCCCACCAAGCCUACGAUCAGUAACUGGUGUGAGAGCACGACCAGUCACACGGGCACUGAGACACGGGCCCGACUCCUACGGGAGGCAGCAGUAAGGAAUAUUGGUCAAUGGACGCAAGUCUGAACCAGCCAUGCCGCGUGAAGGAUGAAGGUCCUCUGGAUUGUAAACUUCUUUUAUAUGGGACGAAACCUCUUAUUCUUAAGAGACUGACGGUACCAUAGGAAUAAGCACCGGCUAACUCCGUGCCAGCAGCCGCGGUAAUACGGAGGGUGCAAGCGUUA